RNAcentral lists this ribosomal RNA (253 nucleotides) under uncultured bacterium. RNAcentral describes it as "partial 16S ribosomal RNA". It matches the Rfam family "Bacterial small subunit ribosomal RNA", at positions 524 to 776 of the family's 1533-position model. The record is from RNAcentral.
UACGUAGGGUGCGAGCGUUGUCCGGAUUUAUUGGGCGUAAAGAGCUCGUAGGCGGUUUGUCGCGUCGGCCGUGAAAUCUCCACGCUUAACGUGGAGCGUGCGGUCGAUACGGGCAGACUUGAGUUCGGUAGGGGAGACUGGAAUUCCUGGUGUAGCGGUGAAAUGCGCAGAUAUCAGGAAGAACACCAAUGGCGAAAGCAGCUCUCUGGGACGGUACUGACGCUGAGACGCGAAAGCGUGGGGAGCGAACAGG